GGAGACAUCCAGGCGUGCUUCCAAGGCUCCCAGGAGGUUCGCAGAUAAGCAAGAGGAACCUGAUAUGAAGAAGAAGACUAUUACUACUCCUUCUGGGUUCUGAAUGUGAAGGAAAGACACCUACAUUGCAAAAUAAUGCUCAAAAAAGUCCCCCAAAAAUAUGGAGAGAUUCCCUCCAUGCCGGCGAGUUUUUGAAAGAACACUGUAAUACCUGUGACAUUACUAUGGAUAGCCAUUAUUUCUUCAGUAUGUUUUGCAAAACUGAUUGAUCUCCUAAAUAUUUGACCUGUUGUAUACUAUGUUAUUUAUUUUAAUAAAGACUUCAAAACAUUAAAAAAAUA
Long non-coding RNA from Bombina bombina (fire-bellied toad), 341 nucleotides. RefSeq lists it as uncharacterized. The transcript is spliced from 2 exons. Lineage: Eukaryota; Metazoa; Chordata; Amphibia; Anura; Bombinatoridae. The record is from RefSeq and is a predicted model, not a curated record.